RNAcentral lists this ribosomal RNA (934 nucleotides) under uncultured bacterium. Its description in RNAcentral is "bacterial SSU rRNA". It matches the Rfam family "Bacterial small subunit ribosomal RNA", at positions 8 to 916 of the family's 1533-position model. The record is from RNAcentral.
AGAGUUUGAUCCUGGCUCAGAACGAACGCUGGCGGCGUGCUAACACAUGCAAGUCGAACGAGAAGUACGUAGCAAUACGUAUUGUAAAGUGGCGCACGGGUGAGUAACACGUGGGUAAUCUGCCCUUGAGUUUGGGAUAACCCCGCGAAAGCGGGGCUAAUACCGGAUAAGACCACGGGGACCAAAGUCCCUGAGGUAAAAGGUGGCCUCUAUUUAUAAGCUACCACUUGAGGAUGAGCCCGCGGCCCAUUAGCUAGUUGGCAGGGUAACGGCCUACCAAGGCAAUGGUGGGUAGCUGGUCUGAGAGGACGAUCAGCCACACUGGAACUGAGACACGGUCCAGACUCCUACGGGAGGCAGCAGUGGGGAAUAUUGCGCAAUGGGCGAAAGCCUGACGCAGCAACGCCGCUUGGGGGAUGAAGGUUCUCGGAUUGUAAACCCCUUUCGAUCGGAACGAAUCCCCUCCUGGUAAAUAAUCAGGAGGAUCGACGGUACCGAGAGAAGAAGCCACGGCUAACUCUGUGCCAGCAGCCGCGGUAAGACAGAGGUGGCGAGCGUUGUUCGGAUUUAUUGGGCGUAAAGCGAACGCAGGUGGUUUGGUAAGUCAGGGGUGAAAGCCCACAGCUUAACUGUGGCAUUGCCUUUGAUACUGCCUUUCUUGAGUAGAGUAGGGGGAAGCGGAAUUCCGAGUGUAGAGGUGGAAUUCGUAGAUAUUCGGAGGAACACCGGUGGCGAAGGCGGCUUCCUGGACUCUAACUGACACUCAUGUUCGAAAGCGUGGGGAGCAAACAGGAUUAGAUACCCUGGUAGUCCACGCCCUAAACGAUGGGCACUAGGUGUGGGAGGUAUCGACCCCUUCCGUGCCGCAGCUAACGCAUUAAGUGCCCCGCCUGGGGAGUACGGCCGCAAGGUUGAAACUCAAAUGAAUUGACGG